GAUCAUUAUUGAAACAUUGUAAAGGAGAGUUGAGCUGGUCCUUUGAGGGCAAGUGCUCGCUGUUCUUUCAAUCUUCAUCCACCUGUGCACUUUUUGUAGAGAGUCUGAGAAACUGGAGCUUUUUAAGUAAGGCUCUAGAUAUUGGGCUCUUUAUGUUUUUAUACACACUAAUUGUAUGUUUGUGAAUGUCUUUAACAAGGGACUUAACUGGACCUUUUAAAAACUAUACAACUUUCAGCAACGGAUCUCUUGGCUCUCGCAUCGAUGAAGAACGCAGCGAAAUGCGAUAAGUAAUGUGAAUUGCAGAAUUCAGUGAAUCAUCGAAUCUUUGAACGCACCUUGCGCCUCUUGGUAUUCCGAGAGGCAUGCCUGUUUGAGUGUCAUUAAAUUCUCAACCUCAAAGACUUAUUGUUGAUGAGGCUUGGAUGUGGAGGCUUUGUUGGCUCAUUUAGAGUCGGCUCCUCUUAAAUGCAUUAGUGGAAACUGUUUUGUAGUCCGCAUUGGUGUGAUAAUUAUCAGCGCUAUUGUUGGCUAUGAGCUCAUGUGGUGUUCGUAUGGAAAGUGCAUGAAAGUGCUCUCUCUGCUUCACUUUGACUUACAUGAGUAAAGUAUCUGCUUCAANCUGUCCUAAGUUAUUGGACAAACACUUGAUUAUUUUGACCUCAAAUCAGGUAGGACUACCCGCUGAACUUAAGCAUAUCAAUAAGCGGAGGAAAAGAAGCUAACAAGGAUUCCCCUAGUAACUGCGAGUGAAGAGGGAAAAGCUCAAAUUUAAAAUCUGGCAGCUUCGCUGUCCGAGUUGUAAUUUAGAGAAGUGUUACCCGCGUUGGACCGUGUAUAAGUC
RNAcentral lists this ribosomal RNA (844 nucleotides) under uncultured fungus. RNAcentral describes it as "eukaryotic LSU rRNA". The stretch from base 230 to 383 matches the Rfam family "5.8S ribosomal RNA". The record is from RNAcentral. Lineage: Eukaryota; Fungi.